Molecule: long non-coding RNA, 1545 nt
Organism: Gasterosteus aculeatus aculeatus (three-spined stickleback)
Lineage: Eukaryota; Metazoa; Chordata; Actinopteri; Perciformes; Gasterosteidae
Source: Ensembl
GCCGCUCCUCUCUCCCGCUAAGUCGUGAGGCGCGGAGCGAGUCCUGUGCCGGAGAGCAAGGAGUAACCUGAGCCCCGCGUACCUCACACUCCCCGACUCUCACACACACACACACACACACACACACGCAGACCUACACAAUGAACAAAGGUGAAGGCGCUUGAAAUGAGCGCAGCAGCUGUGGCUGGUGGAUAAGAGCGGAGCAGGAGUCUCCCCCGGGAGACUAAAAGGAGGGAGCCGUCCCCGACGACACCACAGCGAGUCCCGUCAUACGUGAGCUUAAAACUGGGCUCCCCUGGACUGACGGCGCCGCCGCCCAAACCAAUUCUGGGCAUCUAAUUAAUCCGGAAAAAAAAAAGAAUAAAAUCCUUGACAUUCCGUCUCCUUCUCUGGUGGGUUUAAUUGCUGUCCUUAAUGUCGGGAUUGUGAGCCCCCAUGUAAAAAGCUCCUAAUCCUUCCGUGAAGUGGGAACAUGAGCGAUGAUUAUUGUUGUUAUCGCAGAAUCUGUUGUUUAUCCCAUCAAUCAACAAAUGAAUCACACAGUCUGCGACCCCUCUGGUGGAUACAAAGACGUUAUUCUUGUUUAAGCUUGAAUCUCUCUGUCCAACGUUUGCUGGGUUCUAAGUCUCGUCUCUGUUUGCGGUUAACUGAAUUUAAUCCAAAACAACAACUUAAGUGUGUGUGUGUGUUUUUUUUCCAGGGGGUUAUGUUCCUAAUUCUUGGCAGGACACGGUGACUUAGUGGAGCCUCCUGGUCACCGUGAGGUUGCCAGGCAACCGGCUGGGACUCCAAAACUGUAUGGAUCAAAUAAACAAGACGGGCUGGUGGGCGGACUUUCUUCAUUGAGGACAGAGCUCUUGGUUCCAGUCUUACUGACAUCGGCCUGAGUGCUACGCCCAACUUCGUCUAUCCCUUUACAACUCUCCUCAGCGGCAGCGGCGCAUCCCGAAGAGGCAGAUGAGGGGGGGGCGCUGAGUCGAGAGAUGACAGGAAAAGACUAUUCCGCCUCAUACAUUUGAGCACCAUGUAGUCCGAUUCCACCGGAUGCUUUUGCGUGUUUCCUCAUGGCUAAAAUGCAUUUAUAACAAUGAGUGAAGUGCAUUUAUUGAUUUGUUUGUUGGAGCAGAGAGAGAAAGGACAGUGUUUGGUGCCCGAAAGAUUGGGCGUCAAAUUCCCUCAACGUGUGGUCGGAUCCCAUUAUUUUCUGUCUGAGAGGAGAAGACGGGGCAGGGAUGAAUCAUGCCCGAUAUCUCAUCUCAGCUUCCGCCCACACAACAACAACAACAACAACAACAACAGCAACCACCAUUCACAGCUGCCAAUAUAUAGAUUUUCCAUGAUGGGUUCUUAAGUGGCUAUCAAAGAUGAAAUGUUAGCUACAAAUAGAGUUGUACUGUGUUACAGUUUGUUUCUGCCACAUUUUCACAAAAUACAACUUUUCAACAAUAUUAUUAAUAAUGUUAAUAUUGAUAGUGAUAAAAUGACAUACCUAUUUCUGACAAACUGCAAGUGAACGACCAGCCCCCAUUAGCAAUAUUUGAUCUG